UACGUAGGGGGCGAGCGUUGUCCGGAAUCAUUGGGCGUAAAGAGCGUGUAGGUGGACUGGAAGGUCUGGUGUGAAAGCCCGGGGCUCAACCCCGGAGGGUCACUGGAGACCAACAGUCUUGAGUCUGGAAGAGGAGAGUGGAAUUCCUGGUGUAGCGGUGGAAUGCGCAGAUAUCAGGAGGAACACCAAUGGCGAAGGCAGCUCUCUGGUACAUGACUGACACUGAGACGCGAAAGCGUGGGGAGCGAACAGG
Molecule: ribosomal RNA, 253 nt
Filed under: uncultured bacterium
Lineage: Bacteria
Description: partial 16S ribosomal RNA
Rfam family: Bacterial small subunit ribosomal RNA
Source: RNAcentral